Molecule: ribosomal RNA, 794 nt
Filed under: uncultured crenarchaeote
Lineage: Archaea; Thermoproteati; Thermoproteota
Description: bacterial SSU rRNA
Rfam family: Archaeal small subunit ribosomal RNA
Source: RNAcentral
UUCGCCCUUACGGCUCAGUAACACGUAGUCAACAUGCCCAGGGGACGUGGAUAACCUCGGGAAACUGAGGAUAAACACGAUAGGUCAUCACUUCUGGAAUGGGUAAUGACUUAAAUCUAUAUGGCCCCUGGAUUGGACUGCGGCCGAUCAGGCUGUUGGUGAGGUAAUGGCCCACCAAACCUGUAACCGGUACGGGCUCUGAGAGGAGGAGCCCGGAGAUGGGCACUGAGACAAGGGCCCAGGCCCUAUGGGGCGCAGCAGGCGCGAAACCUCUGCAAUAGGCGAAAGCUUGACAGGGUUACUCUGAGUGAUUUCCGUUAAGGAGAUCUUUUGGCACCUCUAAAAAUGGUGCAGAAUAAGGGGUGGGCAAGUCUGGUGUCAGCCGCCGCGGUAAUACCAGCACCCCGAGUGGUCGGGACGUUUAUUGGGCCUAAAGCAUCCGUAGCCGGUUCUACAAGUCUUCCGUUAAAUCCACCUGCUUAACAGAUGGGCUGCGGAAGAUACUAUAGAGCUAGGAGGCGGGAGAGGCAAGCGGUACUCGAUGGGUAGGGGUAAAAUCCGUUGAUCCAUUGAAGACCACCAGUGGCGAAGGCGGCUUGCCAGAACGCGCUCGACGGUGAGGGAUGAAAGCUGGGGGAGCAAACCGGAUUAGAUACCCGGGUAGUCCCAGCUGUAAACGAUGCAGACUCGGUGAUGGGCUGGCCUUGUGCCAACCCAGUGCCGCAGGGAAGCCGUUAAGUCUGCCGCCUGGGGAGUACGGUCGCAAGACUGAAACUUAAAGGAAUUGGCGGGGG